AGGAGUGUAAAUUGGCUGAGGGGAAGAGGGUGAACAACUAUACAGAUUCAAGGUUGGCCGGAAGCCUUCCCAAUAGCCAAAGCAAAUGCCAAGAAUACGGCAAAGAAACUGAUCCUGACUCAGUAGAAGGAACUCACAACUUGCAGCCCGGAGACUGGGUGGUGAUAAAAAGGCAUGUAAGAAAAGGACUAGUUCCAAGAUUCGAUGGUCCCUUUCAA
Molecule: long non-coding RNA, 218 nt
Organism: Bufo bufo (common toad)
Lineage: Eukaryota; Metazoa; Chordata; Amphibia; Anura; Bufonidae
Exons: 3
Source: RefSeq, a predicted model, not a curated record